RNAcentral lists this transfer-messenger RNA (343 nucleotides) under bacterium. It matches the Rfam family "transfer-messenger RNA". From Rfam's summary of the family: Bacterial tmRNA, also known as 10Sa RNA or SsrA, is named for its dual tRNA and mRNA-like properties. Its role is to liberate the mRNA from a stalled ribosome. To accomplish this part of the tmRNA is used as a reading frame that ends in a translation stop signal. The record is from RNAcentral.
GGGGGCGCCUUGACUAGACAGAGGUUCGAACCAAGAAUGCAAGCCGAGUGCAGGCAACUCGUAAACCUGCAAACACAAAGUGCCAAUUCAUUUGCACAACCCGCGUUGGCUUACGCUUAAUGCGGCGCUCGCUUCAGUAAUUCUCGAUAGCUAAAACGAGUGUCAUUCAUCGAGAUAGACAAUUAAUCCGCCUGGCUCGGAUUAACCGUCAAAAAAGAUCGGCCAGAAAUUUAAAGUGAAGACCUGCCCAGUAGAUCUUCGCUUUAUAGGAUACUGGGCUACGCUUGUAGAUUUUCUUCGGCAAAAACUUUUGGACGGGAGCUCAACCUCCCCGCCUCCACCC